AAACCCUAGAGGCUUCGCGUGACUUUCAUUCUUCUUCUUCCUCAUCGCGAAAGGCCACCGCCUCGCGCCAUUCACCUCCGUAUCACCUCCGCGUCUCUUCGACGACGACGAAACCUUCGACGACGAAACCUUCGACGACGAAACCUUCGACGACGAAACCUUCGACGACGACGACGACCACCGCCGUAUCACCUCCGCGUCUCUUCCGAUUCGACGACAGCAGCUUCGACUACAACCGCCGCGUCUCUUCCGACGACAACCGCCUGACGACAACCGCCGCAUCACCUCAUUCAUCGACGACUACCCAGCCGGAGCAGAAGCAAUUGAAGGAAUAGUGAUGGAUUCAAGUGAGGAAGGAGAAUCACAUUUGAAUGCCAAAGUCUUUUCAACAAUGACCAAUCUUAGGAUAUUGAAAAUAAACAAUGUUUCCCUUUGUGGAGAACUUGACUAUCUCUCUGAUCAGCUGAGGUUCCUCAGUUGGCAUGGCUACCCUUCAGAGUAUUUACCUCCAAAUUUCCAUCCCAAAAGCAUAUUAGAACUUGAAUUGCCCAACAGCUUCAUUCACCAUCUUUGGAAAGGCUCAAAGAGAUUGGACAGAUUGAAGACAGUAAAUCUUAGUGACUCUCAGUUCAUAUCCAAGACACCUGAUUUUUCAGGGGUUCCAAAUCUAGAAAGAUUGAUCUUGAGUGGUUGUGUAAGACUGACAAAACUUCAUCAAUCUCUAGGUUCUUUAAAGCACCUAAUUCAAUUAGAUCUUAAGAAUUGCAAAGCCCUAAAAGCUAUUCCUUUCAGUAUUAGCUUAGAAUCACUCAUAGUUUUAAGUCUUUCAAACUGUUCAAGCCUAAAAAAUUUCCCAAAUAUUGUUGGAAACAUGAAAAACUUAACAGAGCUUCAUUUAGAUGGAACAUCCAUACAAGAAUUACAUCCAUCAAUAGGACACUUAACAGGACUUGUCCUAUUAAAUCUUGAAAAUUGCACAAAUCUUCUAGAACUUCCAAACACAAUUGGUUCUUUAAUAUGCUUAAAAACUCUCACGUUACAUGGCUGCUCAAAACUUACUAGAAUUCCAGAGAGUUUAGGAUUUAUUGCUAGCUUGGAGAAGCUUGAUGUUACUAAUACUUGUAUAAAUCAAGCUCCAUUGUCCCUUCAACUUUUGACGAAUCUCGAAAUACUAGAUUGUCGAGGUCUUUCUCGUAAAUUCAUCCAUUCAUUAUUUCCAUCAUGGAAUUCUUCAUCAUAUUCUUCUUAAUUAGGAUUGAAGUUGACAUAUUGUUUAUCUAGUUUUUGUUCAAUGAAGAAAUUGAAUUUGAGUGAUUGUAGUUUAAAGGAUGGGGAUAUACCAGAUAACCUUCAAAGCUUGCCUUCACUUGAAAUUCUUGAUUUAAGUGGAAACAGUUUACCUUCACUUGAAAUUCUUGAUUUAAGUGGAAACAGUUUUAGUUUUCUACCUAAAAGUGUUGAACAUCUUGUGAAUCUUAGAACUCUUUAUUUGGUAAAUUGUAAAAGGCUUCAAGAAUUGCCAAAACUCCCACUUAGUGUUCGUAGUGUAGAAGCAAGAGAUUGUGUUUCACUUAAGGAAUAUUACAAUCAAGAAAAGCAAAUGCCUUCAAGUUCAACAGGUAUGGCUGUUAUAAGUUGUCCUAUAACGGAUGAAGAACAUAAUUUCAAGAUCGAUAGAGUCAAUUUGUCAAGUAUUCAUCUUCGUACAAUGGUUCAAAGAUGUACUUGUAUUCGUCUGUUAGUGGUUCGAAAGAAAAUAUGCAGUAUGUCUUUGUAGAUCCGUCCCUGAUCUCUUCUGGAAACACACAAGAAUCUCGAAUUCGAAACUUGUGUAGUAGAUUGAUGGUGUCCAAACCCGACCAAGUAGUUCUUGCUCCUUUUAAUCCCGGGGGUCAUUGGGCACUGCUUGCUAUAAAUGCGUAUGAGGAUACAGUGUUUUACCUUGACUCGCUAAGGACAACAUCAAAAGCAACUACAAGAUAUGUAACCGACACAGCAAUAGCAAUAUUUCACUCGCAAAAGAACAUUAAUAAAAGCAGGAAACAAACUUUAUGGCGAACAGUAAAGUGUCCACUACAAGUCGGGAGCACUACGUGUGGAUACUAUGUCAUGAAGUAUAUGAGAGAAAUUGUAAAUAGGGGAAGCAUUGUCAUCUCGGAUUCGAUUGAUACACGAAAAUCAUACUCACAAGCCGAGUUAGAUGAGGUGCGGGUUGAGUUGGUAGAGUUUUUGGGUUCGUACAUGUGAUCUAGGACUUAUGACGUCAUCUCUGCAAAAGGAAAUUAACUUUAUUUUUUGUGGCUGAUUUUUUGAAAUGUUCAUAUGGAGGGUAGAGGUUAAUUGAUAUACUUUUGAGACUUUGUAGAGGAUUAGAGUUUAGGUGAAUUGUUGAUAGGUGAACUGUUCAUAUAUGUAGGGGGUUGCCAUUAUGAAAGUUUAUGGAUUGGGGAUGAUAUACUUUUGGGCUAGGUUAGUUAAAUAGAUGAUGUUUAGUUCAAUUCUUGGAAAUCUGUUGAAAUUGUUUAUAUAUAUAUAUAUAUUGGUUUUGUAAAUGAUAUAUAAAUAUGAUGCAAAGUUUUGGAAA
Molecule: RNA transcript, 2584 nt
Organism: Cucumis melo (muskmelon)
Lineage: Eukaryota; Viridiplantae; Streptophyta; Magnoliopsida; Cucurbitales; Cucurbitaceae
Exons: 8
Source: RefSeq, a predicted model, not a curated record